This 665-nucleotide ribosomal RNA is filed under the name uncultured fungus. Its description in RNAcentral is "eukaryotic LSU rRNA". It matches the Rfam family "Eukaryotic large subunit ribosomal RNA", at positions 24 to 664 of the family's 3401-position model. Lineage: Eukaryota; Fungi. The record is from RNAcentral.
CCCGCUGAACUUAAGCAUAUCAAUAAGCGGAGGAAAAGAAACUAACAAGGAUUCCCCUAGUAACUGCGAGUGAAGCGGGAAAAGCUCAAAUUUAAAAUCUGGUGGUCUCUGGCCAUCCGAGUUGUAAUUUAGAGAAGCGUCUUCCGCGCUGGACCGUGCACAAGUCUCCUGGAAUGGAGCGUCGUAGAGGGUGAGAAUCCCGUCUUUGGCACGGAUGCACCAGGGCUUCUGUGAUGCGCUCUCGAAGAGUCGAGUUGUUUGGGAAUGCAGCUCAAAAUGGGUGGUGAACUCCAUCUAAAGCUAAAUAUUGGCGAGAGACCGAUAGCGAACAAGUACCGUGAGGGAAAGAUGAAAAGCACUUUGGAAAGAGAGUGAAACAGUACGUGAAAUUGUUGAAAGGGAAACGCUUGAAGUCAGUCGCGUCGCCCGAGACUCAGCCUCGCCUCGGCUUGGUGUACUUCUCGGCCGACGGGUCAGCAUCAAUUUUGCCCCUUGGAUAAUGGCGAGGGAAAUGUGACACCUUUACGGGUGUGUUAUAGUCUCUCGUCGCAUGCAAGGGUCGGGAUUGAGGAACUCAGCACGCGCCUUUGGGCGUCGGGGUUCGCCCACGAUACGUGCUUAGGAUGUUGGCAUAAUGGCUUUAAACGACCCGUCUUGAAACACGG